Molecule: unclassified non-coding RNA, 330 nt
Filed under: Hevea brasiliensis (rubber tree)
Lineage: Eukaryota; Viridiplantae; Streptophyta; Magnoliopsida; Malpighiales; Euphorbiaceae
Source: RNAcentral
AAAAAGGGGAAAAAAUCUUGGAUGUUGGUUAAUUUUUUUUGUAAUUCCUCUAUAUCACGUGCAUAGCACGUGCCUAACGAGAUCUCGCUGGCGGCGACCGGAGAUACUUUCCGGCGACAUCUUUCACCUUCUUUGUUAAUGGGUUCUAGCCCAAUUGUGGUUUCGGGGUCUUCAGGUACGAGGAACCGACCCAAUAAUAAUAAGAGCAAGAAUGAUCCGUGUGUUAGCUCGUCUGGGUUUGUGUAUUUACUUGUGGCGUUUGUAGUUUUGGGUUCAAUUGCUGGGAUUUAUGUUCGGUUUAUGAUGACCCCAAAUGUCCAUGCGAGUAUU